Molecule: ribosomal RNA, 252 nt
Filed under: uncultured bacterium
Lineage: Bacteria
Description: partial 16S ribosomal RNA
Rfam family: Bacterial small subunit ribosomal RNA
Source: RNAcentral
UACGUAGGGGGCAAGCGUUGUCCGGAAUUAUUGGGCGUAAAGCGCGCGCAGGCGGUCCAUUAAGUCUGGUGUAUAAACCAAAGGCUCAACCUUUGGACGCAUUGGAAACUGGUGGACUGGAGUGUAGGAGAGGAAAGUGGAAUUCCACGUGUAGCGGUGAAAUGCGUAGAGAUGUGGAGGAACACCAGUGGCGAAGGCGACUUUCUGGCCUAUAACUGACGCUGAGGCGCGAAAGCGUGGGGAGCAAACAGG